RNAcentral lists this ribosomal RNA (464 nucleotides) under uncultured bacterium. RNAcentral's name for it is "partial 16S ribosomal RNA". It matches the Rfam family "Bacterial small subunit ribosomal RNA", at positions 29 to 507 of the family's 1533-position model. The record is from RNAcentral.
ACGCACGCUGGCGGCGUGCUUAACCCCUGCAAGUCGCACGGAAAGGCCCUGCUUGCAGGGUACUCGAGUGGCGAACGGGUGAGUAACACGUGGGUGAUCUGCCCUGCACUUCGGGAUAAGCCUGGGAAACUGGGUCUAAUACCGGAUAGGAGCCAUUUUUAGUGUGAUGGUUGGAAAGUUUUUUCGGUGUAGGAUGAGCUCGCGGCCUAUCAGCUUGUUGGUGGGGUAAUGGCCUACCAAGGCGGCGACGGGUAGCCGGCCUGAGAGGGUGGACGGCCACAUUGGGACUGAGAUACGGCCCAGACUCCUACGGGAGGCAGCAGUGGGGAAUAUUGCACAAUGGGCGCAAGCCUGAUGCAGCGACGCCGCGUGGGGGAUGACGGCCUUCGGGUUGUAAACUCCUUUCGCUAGGGACGAAGCUUUUUGUGACGGUACCUAGAUAAGAAGCACCGGCUAACUACGUG